UGAACAGCCAUGCCGCGUGAAGGAUGAAGGCCUUCUGGGUUGUAAACUUCUUUUAUGUGGGAAGAAAACUACGGUUUCUACUGUAGCCGACGGUACCUUAGGAAUAAGCACCGGCUAACUCCGUGCCAGCAGCCGCGGUAAUACGGAGGGUGCAAGCGUUAUCCGGAUUCACUGGGUUUAAAGGGUGUGUAGGCGGGCUAUUAAGUCAGUGGUGAAAUCUCCGAGCUCAACUUGAAACUGCCAUUGAUACUAUUAGUCUUGAAUUUGUUGAGGUGGCGGAAUAUAUCAUGUAGCGGUGAAAUGCUUAGAUAUGAUAUAGAACACCGAUUGCGAAGGCAGCUCACUAAGCAAUGAUUGACGCUGAGGCACGAAAGCGUGGGGAUCAAACAGGAUUAGAUACCCUGGUAGUCCACGCCCUAAACGAUGAUUACUCGACAUA
This 439-nucleotide ribosomal RNA is filed under the name uncultured Sphingobacteriales bacterium. Its description in RNAcentral is "bacterial SSU rRNA". It matches the Rfam family "Bacterial small subunit ribosomal RNA", at positions 384 to 824 of the family's 1533-position model. The record is from RNAcentral. Lineage: Bacteria; Pseudomonadati; Bacteroidota; Sphingobacteriia; Sphingobacteriales.